GACGAACGCUGGCGGCGUGCUUAACACAUGCAAGUCGAACGGUAAGGCCCUUCGGGGUACACGAGUGGCGAACGGGUGAGUAACACGUGGGUGAUCUGCCCUGCACUUCGGGAUAAGCCUGGGAAACUGGGUCUAAUACCGGAUAGGACCCUGGGAUGCAUGUCCUGGGGGUGGAAAGCUUUUGCGGUGUGGGAUGGGCCCGCGGCCUAUCAGCUUGUUGGUGGGGUGAUGGCCUACCAAGGCGACGACGGGUAGCCGGCCUGAGAGGGUGACCGGCCACACUGGGACUGAGAUACGGCCCAGACUCCUACGGGAGGCAGCAGUGGGGAAUAUUGCACAAUGGGCGCAAGCCUGAUGCAGCGACGCCGCGUGAGGGAUGACGGCCUUCGGGUUGUAAACCUCUUUCAGCACCGACGAAGCGCAAGUGACGGUAGGUGCAGAAGAAGGACCGGCCAACUACGUGCCAGCCGCCGCGGUAA
RNAcentral lists this ribosomal RNA (479 nucleotides) under uncultured bacterium. Its description in RNAcentral is "partial 16S ribosomal RNA". It matches the Rfam family "Bacterial small subunit ribosomal RNA", at positions 28 to 523 of the family's 1533-position model. The record is from RNAcentral.